AACUGCUUUUAUGCGGGGAUAAAGUGAGGGACGCGUCCCUUUUUGCAGGUACCGCAUGAAUAAGGACCGGCUAAUUCCGUGCCAGCAGCCGCGGUAAUACGGAAGGUCCGGGCGUUAUCCGGAUUUAUUGGGUUUAAAGGGAGCGUAGGCCGGGGAUUAAGUGUGUUGUGAAAUGUAGGCGCCCAACGUCUGACUUGCAGCGCAUACUGGUUCCCUUGAGUACGCGCAACGCCGGCGGAAUUCGUCGUGUAGCGGUGAAAUGCUUAGAUAUGACGAAGAACCCCGAUUGCGAAGGCAGCCGGCGGGAGCGCAACUGACGCUGGAGCUCGAAGGUGCGGGUAUCGAACAGGAUUAGAUACCCUGGUAGUCC
This 370-nucleotide ribosomal RNA is filed under the name uncultured Prevotella sp. Its description in RNAcentral is "bacterial SSU rRNA". It matches the Rfam family "Bacterial small subunit ribosomal RNA", at positions 428 to 796 of the family's 1533-position model. The record is from RNAcentral. Lineage: Bacteria; Pseudomonadati; Bacteroidota; Bacteroidia; Bacteroidales; Prevotellaceae.